AGAAUCAACGCUGGCGGCGUGCCUAACACAUGCAAGUCGAACGAGAAAGUGGAGCAAUCCACUAGUAAAGUGGCGCACGGGUGAGUAACACGUGACUAACCUACCUUUUAGUGGGGGAUAACCUAGGGAAACCUGGGCUAAUACCGCAUAAUACCUACGGGUCAAAGCAGCAAUGCGCUGAAAGAGGGGGUCGCGGUCGAUUAGUUAGUUGGCAGGGUAAUGGCCUACCAAGACUGUGAUCGAUA
Molecule: ribosomal RNA, 245 nt
Filed under: uncultured bacterium
Lineage: Bacteria
Description: partial small subunit ribosomal RNA
Rfam family: Bacterial small subunit ribosomal RNA
Source: RNAcentral